Molecule: long non-coding RNA, 242 nt
Organism: Ipomoea nil (Japanese morning glory)
Lineage: Eukaryota; Viridiplantae; Streptophyta; Magnoliopsida; Solanales; Convolvulaceae
Exons: 3
Source: RefSeq, a predicted model, not a curated record
CUUCAUGGAGGUUGAACACUGUUAGUGUAAGAAAUUAUAUCUGCCAUCAACCAUCACACUGGCAACCACCACGUAACAGGGCUGACCUGAGCACCUAACCACAAGAGUAUAUCCCUAGCUCGAGGAUAUUCACAUCAAGCGUUGUUUGGAAUAAGGGAAGGUUGAGAAGGAUUGGAGUAAGCAGGUUGAAAUGAAGGUUUAAGUGGUAGGUAAAAAUAGAGAGCUUGAGAAACUACAAACUG